CCUACGGGAGGCAGCAGUGGGGAAUCUUGCGCAAUGGGCGAAAGCCUGACGCAGCAACGCCGCGUGCGGGAAGAAGGCCUUAGGGUUGUAAACCGCUUUCAGUAGGAACGAAAAUGACGGUACCUGCAGAAGAAGGUGCGGCCAACUACGUGCCAGCAGCCGCGGUGACACGUAGGCACCAAGCGUUGUCCGGAUUUAUUGGGCGUAAAGAGCUCGUAGGCGGUUCAGUAAGUCGGGUGUGAAAACUCUGGGCUUAACCCAGAGCCGCCACUCGAUACUGCUGUGACUUGAGUUCGGUAGGGGAGCAGGGAAUUCCUAGUGUAGCGGUGAAAUGCGCAGACAUUAGGAGGAACACCGGUGGCGAAGGCGCUGCUCUGGGCCGAUACUGACGCUGAGGAGCGAAAGCGUGGGUAGCAAACAGGAUUAGAUACCCUGGUAGUCCACGCCGUAAACGUUGGGCACUAGGUGUGGGUUCCAACCAACGGAAUCCGCGCCGUCGCUAACGCAUUAAGUGCCCCGCCUGGGGAGUACGGCGGCAACGCUAAAACUCAAAGGAAUUGACGG
Molecule: ribosomal RNA, 564 nt
Filed under: uncultured bacterium
Lineage: Bacteria
Description: bacterial SSU rRNA
Rfam family: Bacterial small subunit ribosomal RNA
Source: RNAcentral